Molecule: ribosomal RNA, 492 nt
Filed under: uncultured bacterium
Lineage: Bacteria
Description: partial 16S ribosomal RNA
Rfam family: Bacterial small subunit ribosomal RNA
Source: RNAcentral
AGUGAACGCUGGCGGUAGGCCUAACACAUGCAAGUCGAACGGCAGCACAGUAAGAGCUUGCUCUUACGGGUGGCGAGUGGCGGACGGGUGAGGAAUACAUCGGAAUCUACUUUUUCGUGGGGGAUAACGUAGGGAAACUUACGCUAAUACCGCAUACGACCUACGGGUGAAAGCAGGGGAUCUUCGGACCUUUCGCGAUUGAAUGAGCCGAUGUCGGAUUAGCUGGUUGGCGGGGUAAAGGCACACCAAGGCGACGAUCCGUAGCUGGUCUGAGAGGAUGAUCAGCCACACUGGAACUGAGACACGGUCCAGACUCCUACGGGAGGCAGCAGUGGGGAAUAUUGGACAAUGGGCGCAAGCCUGAUCCAGCCAUACCGCGUGGGUGAAGAAGGCCUUCGGGUUGUAAAGCCCUGUUGUUGGGAAAGAAAAGCAGCAGGUUAAUACCCCGCUGUUCUGACGGUACCCAAAGAAUAAGCACCGGCUAACUUCGUG